RNAcentral lists this ribosomal RNA (79 nucleotides) under Pectobacterium brasiliense. Its description in RNAcentral is "partial 16S ribosomal RNA". The stretch from base 1 to 71 matches the Rfam family "Bacterial small subunit ribosomal RNA", at positions 1463 to 1533 of the family's 1533-position model. Lineage: Bacteria; Pseudomonadati; Pseudomonadota; Gammaproteobacteria; Enterobacterales; Pectobacteriaceae. The record is from RNAcentral.
UGUGAUUCAUGACUGGGGUGAAGUCGUAACAAGGUAACCGUAGGGGAACCUGCGGUUGGAUCACCUCCUUACCAAGAAG